RNAcentral lists this ribosomal RNA (435 nucleotides) under uncultured bacterium. Its description in RNAcentral is "bacterial SSU rRNA". It matches the Rfam family "Bacterial small subunit ribosomal RNA", at positions 791 to 1235 of the family's 1533-position model. The record is from RNAcentral.
UAGUCCACGCCGUAAACGAUGGAUACUCGGUUUGAGAGGGAUUCGACCCCCUUUUGAGCCCAAGCUAACGCGUUAAGUAUCCCGCCUGGGGAGUACGGUCGCAAGAUUAAAACUCAAAGGAAUAGACGGGGACCCACACAAGCGGUGGAGCAUGUGGUUUAAUUCGACAAUAAACGGGGAACCUUACCGAGGCUUGACAUCUCCGGAAUUUUCUAGAAAUAGAAAAGUGCCGCAAGGAACCGGAUGACAGGUGCUGCAUGGUCGUCGUCAGCUCGUGCCUUGAGGUGUUCGGUUAAGUCCGUAAACGAGCGCAACCCAUGUCUUAUGUUGCAUUUUUUCAUAAGAGACUGCCGGCUCCAAGUCGGAGGAAGGUAUGGAUGACGUCAGAUCAGCAUGGCCCUUAUGCCUCGGGGCCACACACGUGCUACAAUGGCC